RNAcentral lists this ribosomal RNA (252 nucleotides) under uncultured bacterium. RNAcentral describes it as "partial 16S ribosomal RNA". It matches the Rfam family "Bacterial small subunit ribosomal RNA", at positions 524 to 776 of the family's 1533-position model. The record is from RNAcentral.
UACGGAGGAUGCGAGCGUUAUCCGGAUUUAUUGGGUUUAAAGGGUGCGUAGGCGGGAUGCCAAGUCAGCGGUAAAAAUGCGGUGCUCAACGCCGUCGAGCCGUUGAAACUGGCGUUCUUGAGUGGGCGAGAAGUAUGCGGAAUGCGUGGUGUAGCGGUGAAAUGCAUAGAUAUCACGCAGAACUCCGAUUGCGAAGGCGGCAUACCGGCGCCCUACUGACGCUGAGGCACGAAAGCGUGGGGAGCAAACAGG